This 1271-nucleotide long non-coding RNA is filed under the name Homo sapiens (human). RNAcentral's name for it is "uncharacterized LOC105374438, transcript variant 2 (LOC105374438)". The record is from RNAcentral. Lineage: Eukaryota; Metazoa; Chordata; Mammalia; Primates; Hominidae.
GAUUCGUACUUACUGAAUAUCAGAAGCUACUCCCUUUUCAACCCCUCCUUUUUCUGCGUGGCAGUUGCUGCGUGGCAGUUGCAACCCCUCCUUUUUCUGCGUGGCAGUUGCAACCCCUCCUUUUUCUGUGUGGCAGUUGCUGCAUGGCAGUUGCAGUCCCUCCUUCUUCUGUGUGGCAGUUGCUGCGUGGCAGUUGCAACCCCUCGUUUUUCUGCGUGGCAGUUGCUGCGUGGCAGUUGCAACCCCUCCUUUUUCUGCGUGGCAGUUGCUGCGUGGCAGUUGCAACCCCUCCUUUUUCUGUGUGGCAGUUGCAACGCCUCCUUUUUCGGCGUGUCAGUUGCUAUGUGGCAGUUGCAACCCCUCCUUUUUCUGUGUGGCAGUUGAAAAUGAAAGUACCUCCAACCGGUUCCCUCCUGCAACCAAUCAGACUGAUUUGCGCAGAAUGAACCAGUGGGAAACCUAUAGAGGAUAAAACACAGAAGGGAGCACAGAGCUGCCUGGUCCUGCAGCUCUCCUGGAGUGAGGUGGUGCUGCUAACCACUGGAAGCUGAAGUCCAGAGGCUCUAUUCAGUCAAGGGGUGAUGAACUCUCUUUGGGUCUGGAGACAGGCUGGAACUGGGAUGAGAUAUGGAGACCCUGCCAUUUACGACAACGUGGAUGUAUCUGCAGGACAUUAAGACAAGUGCAAUAAGCAAGACACGGAAAGAAAAUAUAGCAUGGUCUCUCUUAUAUGUGGAAUUUUAAAAAUUAACUCUGAAUACUUUGGAUUAAACUGCUCUGAAAAAUCAAAUCUGUCCAUGGCAGUGCUAGCAUACUGUCUAUUAGAUUAAAUGAAGCUGUAAGCAUCUUUGAAGUACAAAUGAUACUUGGAAAGUAAAUGAAACUGGGAAUACUUGCAAGUAAAAUAUGGGAAGUCAAAGAGAUUAAAGGAUGAGAACCAGAAAUUGCUUAUGGCCAGUGUCCUGAGUAAGCCUCAGAAUCGCAUCCUAGAAGCAUCAAGUUCUUGUGUUACCCUAUGGAUCUAAAAAACGACUUCCUUAGUUUGAUGUAGUCUGCAGACAUCUCAUCAUCACAAAAACUUGAAAGCACUUACAGCACUAAGAAACUACCUUUGCAGAUUGUAAAAAAAGAUAGAAUCCUACUUAGUGUUUUGAUCACACCUGCCUAUUUCCCCAAGGUUUUACUGCAGGGUUAAAGAAUGAAUAAGCAUCUAGUUAUAUUUAAUAAACUCCAUGCCUUAUGGCUGAUUCUAAAGGCACAUGGCUUUGUUA